GUGCGUGUGUGUGUGUGUGUGUGUGUGCGUGUGUGUGUGCAAAUAUAAGUUUAUUUUAGCAGAAAAACGGUAUAUCUAUUAUCAUGCUUUCGAUAUCUUUGGGGAUGAAUUAUGGAGCCUCUUAUGUUAAUCGUAGAAUAUAUUAUAGUAGUGAAUGGCAGUAGAACUCGGUGGUUAACUUAUCGUUGACAUCAUACUGUGUCCACUUCUCUGAGAAGUGAAUUGUAACUUAUAUAAUAAAGAUUCCACUACGACUGUUUUUUAAAAUCUUUACUGUGAAUUUCAAUUGUGAGGCAUCCACAUUCAAUAGUACCAGUUUAUCUGUCACAAAUAGGUUAGAAGCAUUCAGUUAUUCUGCUGAUUUUCUCUAAACCUUCCGCUGAAAUUUUGCCUGCCAUAGUAAUGGACAAAAUUCAGGUUCCUGUCUCAAUCCAUUAAAAAGAAAAUAACCAACUUUUUUUUAUUUACCGUCACUCCUACUAAAGAAGGGGCGAACAUAAGCCACUUACAAUUUAAUUUACUCGUGUGAUUCCAAAUGCUAGAGGACUGUAAUUGGCUUCAACGAAGCUGAGGUCAGUACAUAUGCGAUAAACCUAUCCUCUAUAUUUAACUACAUAAGCGUUAAUAUAUGCAAUUGCCUAGAUAUGAAUUUUUGUAAAAUUUUAGGUGGUUUACUAAAUAUCCAUUUAAAACUAAUCUCGUAAUUUGCAUACAUGCAGAUGCUCAGAAUGACAUUUAAACGUCUCAUUAUCUAGUUAUAUUUCAAGAUUAAAUGAAUAUAUUAAGAAUGAUAAAUCCAUGGUUUGUUUCAGGGACGCGAGUACAUUUAAUUGUAUAUUGUAACGCUGUAUUAAUGAUUUUAAUACUCGACGGUAUGAAAUUCACUCAUAGUUUAAGUGGAUUCAUCCUUUUAUGAGAUAUUCACACUGUUUUAAUUAAAUACAGUUUCAUUGUUUCCAAACAAAAAAGCUUAUACAGUUCAUGUGUUUGUGUUUUUGUUUGUGUGUGUGUGUGUCUGUGUGUUUAUGUGUAUGUGUAUGAAUAUGUGUGUGCGUUUGUGCCUGUAGGCGUGUGUGUGCCUGCACGUAUGUGUGAGCAUGUUUGUGCUGUGUGAGAGUAUAGGUGUGAGUGUAUCUGUGUAUGUAAAAAUCAUGCACCUCGUAGGUGUGUGGUUUCCAGUUCCGGCCCACAAGCGCGACACACUGGACUAAUAUUUUCAACAAUAGCCUACUAUAUUACUAUAUAUACAUGUAUAUGCAUAGACAUACGUCCAUAUGUUUCAUAUCUAGUAGUCUAUCUAUCUAUCUUUUACUAUAUUAUGUAUAUAUGUAUAUACAAAUAUUUGUACUUGCAUACACACCCACGCACGCACGCGCGCGCAAGCACACAAAUACAUAUCUACAUGUACGUACUUAUGUAUAUGCAGUUCUGCAUAUAUAAACAAAGAGAAGAUAUAAGGAAGGGAAGUGGAAAGGAUGUUGGGGAUUGGAGGAUUUUAAAAAUUUCUAUGCAUGUUGUUAUACUUUUGCAGGAAAUUUCUUUUUAAGCCAAAUUUUAUGUUCGGUUUGCAUGAGUUAUCCCAACCAAUGCGUCAGUCAGCACAUCUCAGAUGAAUCAGCUACUCUAUCAAUUCAACCUCGAAAAUGAUUGAUUUCACUAAAUGUUAAACCUAUAAAAAUAUCUCAUAUAUCAUGUCUUCUUGACCUAAAAUGUUUAAAGACAGGUUCAUGUAUUUAGAAUUGCUAUUUGUAUUAUAUUUUACAGGUGCGCAACUUGAUGCCCUAUUUUAUAUAUUUCAAUAGAUAUACAAUAUCUACUAGUCUUUGAUAUGGACAUCAUAAUUUAUGGAAUAAUAUAUAUUCCUCUGUUAUCAUUAAUUCCCCAGAUACAUGAUACUACAAGAAGCAAUACAGAAAAUUAAAUGUUCCGUUUUUUUUGUUUUGUAUUUUUGCUUUUCCGUUCAAAAUUUGAUAUUACUAUAUCCUUCUGAGAAUGAUCUCAAAAUAUAAGAAAAUCUCAUUGAUGUUCCGUAUCAAGCUUCUCUCAAAGAAUAUAUAUUCUGUUAAUGCAUUCUUAUGCGAUAAUACUACCCGUCUAUCUUCGAAGUAAUCCUAAAUGAAUGCUAUGUAGAUCGUCUUUGACACUACAUCGAACCAUUUAGUGCUGUUUCUUCAAUGAACAGUAUCAAUGUGCAAAAUGUUAUUAUCAAUAUAAAUAUUCUACAUAUUCUUAAAAACAGAUUUAUAUAUUUACAUUUAAGUAACUUAUAAGCAUAUGUUUUGAUUUGAUUGUCUUCCAAAUGUCAUUAGUCGUGAUUCGCAGUUGAUUGUGACAUUUUGAUUUGUAUAGCUUUGCCUUUAAAACUGCUAUUUCACUAUUUCCUGGCCACUUUGUGCAUAAAGAUUUCAGAACUGUCCCACUCACCAGAAAUUGUCUGUUCGAGAGAAAUUAUUUUUACCUUCCUUCCAUAAUCAGUCCGACACGCUGUAGGUUUAGGUGAUAUUUUUAUUUUAAGGCAGAUAGAAUAUGAAUGUUAAAUACUAAUAUUCAUAUCAUUUUAAAUCUUUAAUUAUAUUUUGAAAUUUCUUCUCAAAAUCCGACCAGUUAAACUUGCAUUCUUUACGAUUGUUGAAACUUAGCGAAACGAAAUAAUUUGUCAAAGCCUAAUAAAAGAUAUUUGAUUACAUCAUUGAAGAGGCAAAGUAAUAUUAAAUGUUGAUAUAUUGUUACUUCAUUGCAUUGCUUUAUAUUCUUUUUCGAAACAUUCUAAUACAUCUCAAUAAAUGGCAGCGUGAAACUCAAUUCAUUCCACUAAUAUUACCAUUUGUUUUUAACGAGAUUGGUUCAUUAUUAUUUGAAGGCUCAAAUUACUUUUCACAUAUUUUCAGUAUAUGGUAAUUUUAUAUUUAUUUCAUGAUUUCAUGGACAUUUGUCAUCCCGAGAUUUUCCAAUAUUAAGCCAUGUCUUGUCGUAUGCAGCAUUCUGACAAUUAAAAAUAAUCUAUUUGAGUUCUGAAAAUUACUUCUUUGUUUCCCAUUAUUUUAUAAAUUAAAUAAUUGAAGAGAUGAUUUGCAAAUGUUAUCUAAAUAUAAAUUGUUACCACUAUUUAAACGUAGGUCUUACUCCUGAUGGUACCAUGUGGGUACAGUCAUGACGUACGGCGAGAAAAAUUACAGACAGUUCAUAUUAAUAGAAUAUGUUGAAAGAAUAUCCGAAUAUUUUUUUCAUAAAUUACUUAUUCAUAAUAAUGAGUAUUUAGAAGAUAGUUUCUUAUAAGGAAAAUAUAAUAGCUUAUCAUAUUGCCGUGUUAUAAACAUAUUUUUACAUAUUAUAUAUGGGCGCCGAAGUCAAUCAAAUGUUGGCUCAAAACAUAUCAAGGAUAUCCAAAAUCUCCAUGGAUAGCAAUCUAUUAUUUCCACUCCCGUAGCUAUGUGAUUUUUCUUUACUUAAUACAAAUGGGUCAAUUGAAAAUUGAAGCUGACUGGUUUUCAAGUAAGCCAGUGUUACAGAGCUAUAAUUUCUUGUACAGCUUUAGAACUCACACGUUCUUACUGGUACGAUGCGAGUUAAACAUAUUUAUAUGAUGCCAAACAGAAAAAAAGUCCAAUCUAUAUGUUCUUUAAUAAUUGCGCUAAAUUAUUUAUUUUGUGUAUUCAUCUUCUCAGUAAAAUAUUUCCAACAAUGUAUUUUUAUAAUAUAUGGUUCAUUUUUCUUAUGCUAGUCUGAAACAAGUUUGUGAAUACAUCAUAAAUGUUCAUAAUUUAUUUUUCCACUAUUUUUAUUCGUAGUCGUACUUUAUUUGUGUGUAUUUUGUCAAAUUCGCUAAUCUUAUAUUAAGUGUAAAUCCCAUUCCAUUCUAUCUCUUAAAAUAUCCGAAAGUAAUGUGAUGAAUCUUAAGAAACGUAGUAGUUGACAUUUUGAAAUUUAAUUAUUUGUUUGCUUUAUGAAAUAUGAUACAGUGUUUUAAAAGUCAGAUUGAAAUAAACAUUCCUAACGUCAACAGUAGCAAACAGCUUUAUGGCUAUGCUGACCAUGUCUGCCAAAAUAAUCUUGAUCAAGUAAAUUUUAACUGACAAGAUCUGCUUGCCCGCUAUACUCGGUUUGCUCUCAGGUGUAAUACUCAGUACAAAAUUCUGGUUAUUUCAGGAUCAUUAUUGUUUGGUACUUCGCUAAAAUGAAACAACUCAAACACAUGUAGUGACAUUUUAGAAACGUUAUAUGAUGGUGUAUACCAAUCUAAUUCAUAAGGUUCAAAAUCUGCCUGCUGAAAGUGUACAUUGCUCGGUGAUAAAUAUUUUCGGCUUGCACCAGCAUUUUCAUUUGCUUUUGUUGAUAUCAAAAGCGAAAUGAGUAACUUAAAGAGCAAUGAAAUUCACUAAAAUUUAAAGACAACAUAAGUGGGCUUUUGUGUUAAAAGUGAUGCUUUCUAUUUGUUUCAAAAUUAAAUUGAAAGCAUUUUAUUCUAACUUCUUCAAUGAAAUAACGCAAAUAGAAUAUUAAUAGUCUGAUAUUUUUUCUUACAAUAUCUACAUAAAUGUAUUUCAGUUUAAUAUAAGUACACUUAAUUAUUAACUUCAACAAUACUUGUCUCUCAGUUGUUAGCAAUAAAUUAAAAUCUGACUUUGAGUCAAUUUUUGUUUUCAAUGUAUAGAAUAUGGAAAGUUCAAAGCAGCUUGCUAUAACUAGAUGGGCAUUAUCAGCUGUACAGUUGACUACGUGAUAUAUUCGCGUGAAGCUUCACGCAUUCUGGUGACAUGUAUCUUACAGUAUAUUUAUAAUAUAUUUAUAUGGAUUUUAAAUCUUCCCAUAUGGUAUAUUGAAUGAAUUGCUGCGAUAUUAUAGAUGCUCAUACAAUAUGAUGAUUAGCUUGUAUGAUAGGGUCAUACGAGAUGUCCGUAUAAACUGAUCAUUUGACGUCCAAUAUCCAAUAUCUCACGAGAGCCUAUUAAAAAUGCAAUUUCUAAAUUUAUUGUAUCAACGUAUAUCAAAACAUGGAUUACUUGGGAUAUUAUGUAUUUUCUUUUCCCUUUAUUUUGAAUUAUAUUACAAGUGACAUAUGUAUGAAAUGAUAUUAACCUUAGAAAAAUUAAUGGGAGAAGAUUAACGAAUUCUUAUAUAUGUUGAUAUCUGCUGUAGCCUUGCGGAUUCCGAAGCAAUUAACCUGAAGUUACAAAACAGAAAGGAACUAGAAUUUGAAAAUAUAUAAAAUUGCAGGAAACAGUAAUAAACUUUGAAUCCCCUUAACAUGUAAAUCUAAUAACCAUACUUUGAAUGUUUUAAAAUAGUAUUUCAUUCAUUAUUUUCAUAUAGCAGUUAUUAGAAAAAGGAUUACGUUGCAAAGAGUAAAAUAGAGAUAUGUUGUGACAAAGAUUCCCGUAAAAUGGUUGAAAUUCAAUUGAAUAUCAUGACAUAAGUAAUUUAUUUGACAUUAUACUGUGUAAAGUUCGGAAUGCAUUCAACAAAUGGAAAAUGUUGCAAAUAGAUAUUGUAAGUUGUAAGCUCGUAAAUUUCAUUUAGAUCAUUAAAUAAAAGUUUUAUAUUUGCAUUUUCUUGCAGAAAAAAAUAUAACAUCUAAUGCGAAAGUCUAGUAAUUUUAAAGAUUUCUAUAUGAUUUCGGUUUUAUUGAAUAUUUGUAUGUUAUUUCCAAUAUAUCCGAAUACUGAAUCUUUCUAGCUACUAACAGUGCGAGCGAACGCUACACACAAGAUUGUGGAGAAAGAAGACGAGCUGUGAUAUUAACCAUCGUGUCAGGAUACGUUCCUGCUUUG
Molecule: long non-coding RNA, 5768 nt
Filed under: Octopus sinensis (East Asian common octopus)
Lineage: Eukaryota; Metazoa; Mollusca; Cephalopoda; Octopoda; Octopodidae
Description: uncharacterized LOC118762525
Source: RNAcentral